Castor canadensis (American beaver) is the source of this 235-nucleotide long non-coding RNA. RefSeq lists it as uncharacterized. NCBI's taxonomy places the organism in Eukaryota, Metazoa, Chordata, Mammalia, Rodentia, Castoridae. The record is from RefSeq and is a predicted model, not a curated record.
UGAUGCGGCGGGGCCUGCUGGGAUGUGUAGUUCCGUAGUAUCAGUGGCCCGUAGCCUUGUACCAACCUGGACUAACAGCCCCACAAUGCCCGGCGACUAAAUGCGUAAGUCGACCGCGACGGACUCCGGCGCGUCAGGCGAUUCACAGAAUUGGACUCUCAUUGACCUUCACAAAAGCAAAAUUAACAACCAACCCUGGCAUCCAUCCAUCUGGAACCCACAUCCAUUCCCUUAU